GCUUAGUUAGCUCUGAGGGUAGCGCGUCUGCCUUGUAAGCACAAGCUCGCAAGUUCGAUUCCCGCAUGGGGCG
This 73-nucleotide transfer RNA is filed under the name Diaphorina citri (Asian citrus psyllid). It matches the Rfam family "tRNA". From Rfam's summary of the family: Transfer RNA (tRNA) molecules are approximately 80 nucleotides in length. Their secondary structure includes four short double-helical elements and three loops (D, anti-codon, and T loops). Lineage: Eukaryota; Metazoa; Arthropoda; Insecta; Hemiptera; Psyllidae. The record is from Rfam by way of RNAcentral.